AUGGAAAGGUCAAAAAUACUUCCUUUAAAAGAUGCAGAAAUUGAACAGUUCUGGUUUUCCUGCCAAAAUGCAAGUUCUUUAAUACCUCAAAACUGCAUGUGGGAUGAAUAUAUGAACACAGCAUUUGUAACCUCUCUCUAUUCCCUCCCCUCCCUGCUCCCGCAGCGGAAUUCCAACAUUUGUCCAACUCUGCUAAGAAACCUUUCUGCAGAGGGCUGUUUGCCACCUCUAAAUACAGAUACAGAGCAAGCUUGCUAUUUCUGUCCAGGCAAAAUUGCACUGCUAUUAGUGGCAUUGCUGUUGUAGAAUUCAGGUUUGGGGUGGAAGCAGCAGGCUCUGCUGCUUGCAACGAGAAGCCGCUGUUUCUUUCUCAAGGCAGCAAAGACUUUCACCACAGCCUUGGGUGUUUGCUACCUGGGAAGGUGCUGCGGUUUUGCAAGGUGUCUGGAGAAGAACCACCGAAGUGAGCUGGCAGCUGAUGGACCUAUUUGUACAAAUGCAAAGACUCUGAAAAUCAUUGUGUGAAGAUGUAUCCACAGAAGAACUUGGGGACCUAAGCACUGUACAACUGCCCCUCUAGGUUCCUAAAUCCUGAGCAGCUGCUGACUGAGAUCUGUAGGUACUUUAAAGUUUUGUUGKUUUUUUUUUUUYCAGUAAAAUUUCUUGUGCCUAGAAGUCUGCUCCUGAGCAUGCCUGACUCUGUUUAAGUCUGUAGCGUCCUCCUUGUGUGUGUUUCCCCGUGAUCCCUCCGGCAGGGCUGGCUGCAGGGCGUACCCCAAGUGAGGGAGGCAGCCUUGCACCCCGACACACGAGCACCCCCUAUCCGGCCCUGCUGUUAGGAGGGGCUGUAAACUUAGUUAAUCCCCCCCUACCCCCUUGCAGCCGUGUCUAACUACUCUUCGCUGUCCUGCCUUCAACGCAUGUGCAGCCUGUGCUCUCUUCCCUUUUCAAACGCUACAUCGGUGGUCCGAGCUCUUGCUCACAACCUGGGAGACUAAACUUUCCCCCUUCCACAUCCCUGGGGAAUCACUGAACCUCCGGGCUACCAUGUCUUUCCAGACUGCAGACUGGCUCAAAUCCUUUGGCUUGAAAUUGUUUCAUGUUGCAUGAGUCGCUCACCAUUGCUGGGUCAGGAAGGGAAAGAAAACCACUGAACACUACUUUGCAGCCUAGUAGUUAAAGUGUGGGCCCAGGAGAGAAAGUACCAGGAUGUUUUUCCUUGUACAAGUAAAUUGCUAUAAAAUGUAGAAGCAUAAAUUGGAUCCAGGUCUGGAUUCUAGGUUUCCUGCUUCCCAGGACAAUGAUUAACCACCUGCCUGUAUAACCGGACUGUAAAACACCUGACUUGUUUUGGUCCCAGGCCCUGGCUCAGUUAAUAUUUCAAUACACCACACAAUGUGGGAUGGCUUUCACAGCCUGAGAGCUUUUCAGCCCUGUAAAUCUAACAGCCUAAUGUGUCAAAGGAUUUGCAAGGGAUGCAUCUGGGUCUUMUACGUUCUGGGAGAAAGCCCUAAUGCUUGUGCUAACAGAUAAAUGACAACUGCAUGGUUGUCAUUAUGCAAGAGCAAGAGACCAUGAACACCUAUCUCCAGAACCCAGACAGACCUAAAUUAAGGAGCAAGGAUGGAUCUUAAGACCAAAUUCAUUUCUUAGUGUUUGCUCUUGACCAUUGUUUCUGCUUGGCUUGCCUGAUACUUAAUUCCUAUCCUCAGAUGCUCACAUGGUCUCGUGCAUUUCAUUAAAAAGUUUCUGGGUGUCUAAAUCACAGCCUGAAUCUCAUUGGACAGCAAAUUGCCUAAAGGAUAUUCUCUGCAGCAUUCAGCAUAACGAAGUCUAUGUCCUUUUGUGGAUAUCAAUUGACACAUAAUUUUAAGUGAGCAACACAACAGUAUAAAACARAUGGUACUCAGAACAACCCAUGGUUAGCUCAGAACACCAGCAACAUACCGUGACCAAAGGAAGCCCCAGAUAUCUGAUCACUAAAGGUAUAAAAACCUUACACAUGGCAAGUCACCCCAAAGGGCAGGAAACUAUCCUGCAUGUGUAGAGAGGGGCUGGGAUCUGGACUUMGAGGGCCACUCUGUCUUAAGCCACUGAUCCACCAGAUCUAGGUCAUAGAUCUGCCCUUUGAAGGAGACACAACCCAUCCACAACUGGUCAAAUGCUGGUUUAUGCCUGACCUGCAGUUGAGGCUGUGCAGCUGGUCUGUGUGUGUUCAGCACCGCUCUGGCUGCGCAUGUGCAGRGAUCAUGCACGCGUGGGGCUUUUGCGUCAUGUGUGCAGCGAGUCCCAGCUCUCGCCGUGUGAAACCCAGGCCCCGUGUCGCAGAGGCAGUGGGACCAGCCUGUGCAUUGCAUGCCGGGGCUGCCUCCCUGCAGGUGCACACCUGCCUGGMAUGUGGCUGGAGCAGAGGGUCGUCCCAGCUCCAGCUUUGAGGUUACACAGAAACAACAACAAAUCCUAGCAAGUAUCAGGGGCGGGGGGUGGAAGUCCUAAGCAAUUAAUACAACACUUUCCAAAAAUACUCCUGUCUCGUCCAAGUGUUCAUGUUUUCAUUUGUAACCAUCGCCUUUUCAACAACUAAAAUAAACACUGCUGAAGGACU
This 2605-nucleotide long non-coding RNA is filed under the name Dromaius novaehollandiae (emu). RNAcentral's name for it is "lncRNA (ENSDNVG00000013364.1)". Lineage: Eukaryota; Metazoa; Chordata; Aves; Casuariiformes; Dromaiidae. The record is from RNAcentral.